ACGACCUCAAUCAGACGAACAACCCGCUGAAUUAAGCAUAUACUAAGCGAGGAAAAGAAACUAACAAGGAUCCCUUAGUACGCGAGCGAAGAGGGAAGAGCCCAGCGCCGAAUCCCCGUCCGACAGGCGGCGUGGAAAUGUGCGUACGAAGACGCUUUGCCCGGUGCCGAUCGGGGCCCAAGUCCUCUGAUCGAGCCCCAUCCACGGACGGUUGAGCCGUGGCGCCCCUGUCGCGCCGGGUCGUCUUCUCGAGUCGGGUUGUUGGGAAUGCAGCCCAAAGUGGUGGUAAACCCAUCUAAGCUAAAUACCGCACGAGACCGAUAGACACAAUACCGUAAGGAAAGUGAAAAGAACUUGAAGAGAGAUCAACAGGGCGUGAAACCGUAAGAGUAAACGGUGGGUCCGCGCAGUCUGCCCGGGGAUUCAACUCGGCGGGCCCGGGACGCCGCCGUGGGAGGAUCCCCUCGCGGACCUCCCCCGCUGCCGGCUGGCCCCCCGCCGGCGCAUUUCCUCCGCGCGUGCGUCGCACCGGCUCCGGUUCGCCAGGAAGGUCUGGGCGAAGGCUCGCGCCUCGGCCGCGAGCUUACAGCGCCUCUCGCCCGGAAUUCGCCGCUUACCGGGCGCGGACUCUGUGCUCGCUGCCCCUCUCUCCCCCUAACCCGGGAGGACGGGCCCCCUCGCUCCCGCGCGACUGUCGACCGGGCGGACUGUCCUCAGUGCGCUCCAACCGCGUCGCGCCGCCAGCGGGGAUCGCCCACGCCAAAGCGCAACGGUCUGCGCGAUGUCGGCUACCCACCCGACCCGUCUGAAACACGGACCAAGGAGUCUAACGCGCGCGCGAGUCAAAGGUCUCACGAAACCCCGAGGCGCAAUGAAAUGAGGCGGCCCGCCAGCUGAGUGGAUCCCGGCCCCCGCGCCCGGCGCACCACCGCCCGUCUCGCCCGCUCCGUCGGAGUGGAGCUGAGCGCGUGCGAUAGGACCCGAAAGAUGUGAACUAUGCCUGGCAGGCGAAGCCAGAGAAACUCUGUGAGCCCGUAGCGGUCCUGACGUGCAAAUCGUCGUCCGACCUGGUAUAGGGCAAAGACUAAUCGAACCAUCUAGUACUGGUUCCCUCCGAAGUUCCCUCAGAUAGCUGCGCUCAAGUCUCGCAGUUUAUCUGGUAAAGCGAAUGAUAGAGUCUUGGGCCGAAACGAUCUCAACCUAUCUCAAACUUAAAUGGUAAGAAGCCCGGCUCGCUGCUUGGAGCCGGCGUGGAAUGCGAGCUGCCCAGUGGCCACUUUGUAACAGAACUGGCGCUGCGGAUAACCGAACGCCGGUAAGGCGCCCGAUGCCGACGCUCAUCAGACCCAGAAAAGUGUUGUUAUAUAGACAGCAGGACGUGCCAUGGAAGUUGGAAUCGCUAAGGAGUGUAACAACUCACCUGCCGAAUCAACUAGCCCUGAAAAUGGAUGCGCUGGAGCGUCGGCCCAUACCCGCCGUCGCCGCAAUAGGAGCCGCGAGGCUACGCCGCACGAUAGGAGGGCCGCCCGGUGAGCACGGAAGCCUAGGCGCGAGCCCGGGUGGAGCCGCCGGGUGCAGAUCUUGGUGUAGUAGCAAAUAUCAAACGAAACUUGAAGCCGAAGUGGAGAAGGUUCCAUGUGAACAGCAUUGAACAUGGUCAGUCGUCCUAAGGAUGGCGAACGCCGUCGGAACGCGGGCGAUGCCUACGUCGCCCCGGCCGAUCGAAAGGAGUCGGUUCAAAUCCCCGAACCUGAGGUGGAAUAGCGCCGCGAGGCCCAGUGCGUAACGCAAACAACCCGAGAAGCUGCGGCCCCGGGAGAUCUCUUUCUUUGUAAGGCAGGCCCCUGGAAUGGUCGCCCCGAAUAGGGCCCUGCCCUGAAAGCGCGCGGUUCCGGCGGCGUCCGUGACUCUCGCUGCCCUUGAAAUCCGGGGAGAAGGUAAGUCUCACCCAGACCGUACCCAUAUCCGCAGCAGUCUCCAAGUGAACAGCCUGGCAUUUAGAACAAGCAGCUAAGGAAGUCGCAAGUCAAUCCGUAACUCGGAUAAGAUUGGCUCUAAGGCUGGUCGGUCGGGCUGGGUGCGAACGGCUGGCCGCGCCGCGCUGGGGAGCAGUCGCCCCGCGCCCUCCUCUCUCCGCCGCCGGAAGCGCGUGCGCGGCCCGCCUCGCGGGCUCGCGUCUGCGCGCCUCGCCGCGUACGGCGUGGUUUUCGCGGCGGUGUCCGCCGCCGCGUGGAAGCGGCCGGCGGGGGAUGCGGUCGCGUGGCUGGCGGCGACUCUGGACGCGCGCCGGCCCUUCUCGCGAUCACCUCAGCUGCGUGCCCGUCGGGUCCCUCGCGGGGCUCCCCGCGGUCGCCUCGCUGGCGCCUACAGCGACUAAACUGUGCGGACCAGGGAAUCCGACUGUUUAAUUAAAACAAGCAUCGCGAAGGCCCACGGUGGUGUUGACCGAUGUGAUUCUGCCCAGUGCUCUGAAUGUCAAAGUGAAGAAAUCAAGAAGCGCGGUAAACGGCGGAGAACAUGACUCUUAAGUACCAAAUCCUCGUCACUAAUAGUGACCGCAUGAAUGAUGAACGAGAUUCCCACUGUCCCAGCUCUAUCUAGCGAAACCACAGCCAAGGAACGGCUGGCAAAAUCAGCGGGAAAGAAGACCCUGUUGAGCUGACUCUAUCUGCACUGUGAAGACAUGAAGUGUAAAAAUGGGAGCUUCGGCCGCCGUGAAAUACCACUACUCUAUCGUUUUCACUUACCCGGUGAGCGGAGGCGAGCCCCGACGGCUCUCGCUCUGUGUCAAGCGCCCGCACCCGCCGGCGGACCCGCUCCGGGACAGUGGCAGGUGGGAUUUGACGGCGGUACACCGUCAAACUGUAACGCAGGUGUCCUAAGCAGCUCAGAGACAGAAACCUCCCGUGGACAGAAGGCAAAAGCCGCUAUCUUGAUUUCAGUAUGAAUACAGACCGUGAAAGCGGGCCUCACAUCCUUCUGACUUUUGGGUUUAAGCAGAGUGUCAGAAAAGUUACCACAGGAAACUGGCUUGUGCGGCCAACGUUCAUACGACGUCGCUUUUGAUCCUUCGAUGUCGCUCUCCUAUCAUUGUGAAGCAGAAUUCACCAAGCGUUGGAUGUCACCCACUAAUAGGAACGUACUGGGUUUAGACCGUCGUGAACAGGUUAUUUUACCCUACUGAUGAGUGUUUGCAAUAGUAUCCUGCUCAGUACGAAGGACCGCAGUUCAGACAUUGGUGUAUGCUUGCUAGGACCAAUGCAAGCUACCAUCUGCGGAUAUACUGAACCUCUAAGUCAGAAUCCUCCUAGACGCAGUGAUACCGUAGCGCUGUGAUCUUCGUUGGUCUCGGAUAGCCGGCCCGCCGUGAAGAGAGCCAUUCGUGACUGGCUGGGGACGGCCCGACGACGUCGCCCUCUCCAAUCGCGCACUCAUGUUUGGAGAACCUGGUGCUAAUAACUUGUAAACGACCUGAUUCUGGUCAGGGUCUGUCGUAGCAGAGCAGCUAAUCGCUGCAUCUAUUGAAAGUCACCCUC
Molecule: ribosomal RNA, 3536 nt
Filed under: Oreochromis niloticus (Nile tilapia)
Lineage: Eukaryota; Metazoa; Chordata; Actinopteri; Cichliformes; Cichlidae
Description: eukaryotic LSU rRNA
Rfam family: Eukaryotic large subunit ribosomal RNA
Source: RNAcentral